Molecule: ribosomal RNA, 540 nt
Filed under: uncultured Glaciimonas sp.
Lineage: Bacteria; Pseudomonadati; Pseudomonadota; Betaproteobacteria; Burkholderiales; Oxalobacteraceae
Description: bacterial SSU rRNA
Rfam family: Bacterial small subunit ribosomal RNA
Source: RNAcentral
CGUAGGGUGCAAGCGUUAAUCGGAAUUACUGGGCGUAAAGCGUGCGCAGGCGGUUGUGUAAGACAGGUGUGAAAUCCCCGGGCUUAACCUGGGAAUGGCAUUUGUGACUGCACGGCUAGAGUGUGUCAGAGGGGGGUAGAAUUCCACGUGUAGCAGUGAAAUGCGUAGAGAUGUGGAGGAAUACCGAUGGCGAAGGCAGCCCCCUGGGAUAACACUGACGCUCAUGCACGAAAGCGUGGGGAGCAAACAGGAUUAGAUACCCUGGUAGUCCACGCCCUAAACGAUGUCUACUAGUUGUCGGGUCUUAAUUGACUUGGUAACGCAGCUAACGCGUGAAGUAGACCGCCUGGGGAGUACGGUCGCAAGAUUAAAACUCAAAGGAAUUGACGGGGACCCGCACAAGCGGUGGAUGAUGUGGAUUAAUUCGAUGCAACGCGAAAAACCUUACCUACCCUUGACAUGGCUGGAAUCCUUCAGAGAUGAGGGAGUGCUUGAAAGAGAACCAGUACACAGGUGCUGCAUGGCUGUCGUCAGCUCGUG